RNAcentral lists this non-coding RNA (510 nucleotides) under Pongo abelii (Sumatran orangutan). Lineage: Eukaryota; Metazoa; Chordata; Mammalia; Primates; Hominidae. The record is from RNAcentral.
UGGAGUGCGGGGCGGAGAAGAGAGAAAAGGAAGGAAGGAAGGAAAGGGCAGGAAGAACCUUAAAAAAAAAAAAAAAAGCAACCAAAGAAAAAAGGCUGUGCUGGAUGUCGUGGGCAGUAGCUUGGGGACCAGGAGCCAGGCCAGAGGACCCUCUUCCAGAAGGCACUCCUUUACCUGAGCUGGAGCUGCUGGUUUUCUGCUUUGUGUUUUGUCGAGACUCUUUCAUCCAGGGGAAGAUUUGUUUGGCCACUGUGGGAAAAGAAAACGCCAAGACAUAGAAAACCAUGCUUUUCCCGUAGGAAGAACCGAUGAUGAGCCCUGAUGAAAGAAGGGAGAAGACCCGCUGUCUGCGAAGGCCUAAAGGUUAGAAAUACAGCAAUUUUUCUCAUGCCGAAGGAAAGGCAAAAUGAUCUAAGAAACUGCAAGGCAGUGAUACACGUUUUCCUCAACAGCGAGCUGAGACUGGCGACAAUUUCUUAACUCACAGCCUCAGCAGUCGCCUCAGUCGAC